This 404-nucleotide ribosomal RNA is filed under the name uncultured bacterium. Its description in RNAcentral is "partial 16S ribosomal RNA". It matches the Rfam family "Bacterial small subunit ribosomal RNA", at positions 30 to 526 of the family's 1533-position model. The record is from RNAcentral.
AUUGAACGCUGGCGGCAGGCCUAACACAUGCAAGUCGAGCGAGAGGCGGAGGGGUGAGUAAUGCCUGGGAAUUGCCCAGUCGAGGGGGAUAACAGUUGGAAACGCCUGCUAAUACCGACUACGACUGGAUUGCAGCGGUGGGAUUCGAUAGUUCGUGAGGUAAUAGCUUACCAAGGCGACGAUCCAUAGCUGGUCUGAGCGGAUGAUCAGCCACACUGGAACUGAGACACGGUCCAGACUCCUACGGGAGGCAGCAGUGGGGAAUCUUGCGCAAUGGGGGAAACCCUGAUGCAGCAAUGCCGCGUGUGUGAUGAGGGCCGUCGGGUGGUAGAGCACUUUCAGCGAGGAGGCGUUACUCGCAGAAGAAGCACCGGCUAACUCCGUGCCAGCAGCCGCGGUAAUUC